Molecule: ribosomal RNA, 354 nt
Filed under: uncultured archaeon
Lineage: Archaea
Description: bacterial SSU rRNA
Rfam family: Archaeal small subunit ribosomal RNA
Source: RNAcentral
CCUCCGCAAUGCGAGCAAUCGCGACGGGGGGACCCCAAGUGCCACUCUUAACGGGGUGGCUUUUCUUAAGUGUAAAAAGCUUUUGGAAUAAGGGCUGGGCAAGACCGGUGCCAGCCGCCGCGGUAACACCGGCAGCCCAAGUGGUGGCCAUUUUUAUUGGGCCUAAAGCGUUCGUAGCCGGCCUGAUAAGUCUCUGGUGAAAUCCCGCAGCUUAACUGUGGGAAUUGCUGGAGAUACUAUCGGGCUUGAGGUCGGGAGAGGUUAGAGGUACUCCCAGGGUAGGGGUGAAAUCCUAUAAUCCUGGGAGGACCACCUGUGGCGAAGGCGUCUAACUGGAACGAACCUGACGGUGAG